RNAcentral lists this ribosomal RNA (897 nucleotides) under uncultured organism. RNAcentral describes it as "bacterial SSU rRNA". It matches the Rfam family "Bacterial small subunit ribosomal RNA", at positions 29 to 917 of the family's 1533-position model. The record is from RNAcentral.
AUGAACGCUAGCUACAGGCUUAACACAUGCAAGUCGAGGGGAAACGAUAUUGGAAGCUUGCUUCCGAUAGGCGUCGACCGGCGCACGGGUGAGUAACGCGUAUCCAACCUGCCCACCACUUGGGGAUAACCUUGCGAAAGUAAGACUAAUACCCAAUGAUAUCUCUAGAAGACAUCUGAAAGAGAUUAAAGAUUUAUCGGUGAUGGAUGGGGAUGCGUCUGAUUAGCUUGUUGGCGGGGUAACGGCCCACCAAGGCGACGAUCAGUAGGGGUUCUGAGAGGAAGGUCCCCCACAUUGGAACUGAGACACGGUCCAAACUCCUACGGGAGGCAGCAGUGAGGAAUAUUGGUCAAUGGGCGAGAGCCUGAACCAGCCAAGUAGCGUGCAGGAUGACGCCCUAUGGGUUGUAAACUGCUUUUAUAAGGGAAUAAAGUGAGCCUCGUGAGGCUUUUUGCAUGUACCUUAUGAAUAAGGACCGGCUAAUUCCGUGCCAGCAGCCGCGGUAAUACGGAAGGUCCGGGCGUUAUCCGGAUUUAUUGGGUUUAAAGGGAGCGUAGGCCGGAGAUUAAGCGUGUUGUGAAAUGUAGACGCUCAACGUCUGCACUGCAGCGCGAACUGGUUUCCUUGAGUACGCACAAAGUGGGCGGAAUUCGUGGUGUAGCGGUGAAAUGCUUAGAUAUCACGAAGAACUCCGAUUGCGAAGGCAGCUCACUGGAGCGCAACUGACGCUGAAGCUCGAAAGUGCGGGUAUCGAACAGGAUUAGAUACCCUGGUAGUCCGCACGGUAAACGAUGGAUGCCCGCUGUUGGUCUGAAUAGGUCAGCGGCCAAGCGAAAGCAUUAAGCAUCCCACCUGGGGGGUACGCCGGCAACGGUGCAACUCAAAGGAAUUGACGGA